UACGUAGGGGGCGAGCGUUGUCCGGAUUUAUUGGGCGUAAAGAGCUCGUAGGCGGUUUGGCAAGUCGGGUGUGAAAACUCCGGGCUCAACUCGGAGACGCCACUCGAUACUGCCAUGACUCGAGUCCGGUAGGGGAGUGCGGAAUUCCUGGUGUAGCGGUGAAAUGCGCAGAUAUCAGGAGGAACACCGAUUGCGAAGGCAGCUCGCUGGAACGUUACUGACGCUGAGACGCGAAAGCGUGGGGAGCAAACAGG
This 254-nucleotide ribosomal RNA is filed under the name uncultured bacterium. RNAcentral describes it as "partial 16S ribosomal RNA". It matches the Rfam family "Bacterial small subunit ribosomal RNA", at positions 524 to 776 of the family's 1533-position model. The record is from RNAcentral.